Molecule: long non-coding RNA, 6127 nt
Filed under: Sus scrofa (pig)
Lineage: Eukaryota; Metazoa; Chordata; Mammalia; Artiodactyla; Suidae
Description: lncRNA (ENSSSCG00050020564.1)
Source: RNAcentral
AUUUUUAAAAGUUGUAUUGAAGUAUAGUUGAUUUACAAUGUUGUGAUAAUUUCUGCUGUACGACAAAGUGAUUCAGUUACACAUGUACACACAUACAUUCUUUUUCAGAUUAUUUUCCCAUGUAGAUUAUCACAGAACAUUGGGUAGAGUUCCCUGUGCUAUAUAGCAGGUCCUUGUUCACCAGUCAUUCCAUAUACUGCAGUUUGCACAGGCCAGCCCCAAAUCCCCAAUCCAUCCCUCAUCUCCACCUGUUCCCUUUGGUAACCAUAAGUUUGUUUUCAAAGUCUGUGAGUCUGUUUCUGUUCUGAAAAAUUUGCAUACUUUUUCAUAUUCCACAUAUAAGUGAUAACAUAUGAUGUCCAUCUUUCACUUCUGACUUACUUUACUUAGUAUGAUAAUCUCUAGGUCUACCCAUAUUGCUGCAAAUGGCAUGAUUUCAUUUUUUUAUGGCUGAGGAAUAUUCCCUUGUAUACAUGUGCCACAUCUUCUUUCAUCUUCCAUUGGUCUUUUUUUCAUAUAGCAGCCAGAGUGAUUCUUUUAAAAUAUAGGAUCUCUCCCCAAAACCUUUCCAUGGAUUUUCAUAAAAUUCAGAAUAAAAGCCACAGUCCAUACCAUGGUCCACUUGACUCUGCAGGAUCUUGCCAUUGGCAGCCUUCAGAUCCCAGCACUAGCUGCUCACCUCCUCCUGGCUGUGUUCCAGCCAUGCUGCUGCUAUAAUUGCCCAAGCACAUCCUCACCCUAGAGUCUGCAUGCUGUUCCUCUGCCCAUCCUCCUCUUUCCAACAACUGCAGUGGGUGAUCUCUCACUUCAUCUCUGUCUGAUCCGAGGUCUUCCCUGAAAAGCCUGUCUGACACUGGCCCACCAUGCAUCAUUCACCUUGAUUGGCUAUAUUCUCCACUGAGCAUAAAUUAAAUGAGGGCAAUUUCUUUGCUUUUGAUCCUUAUUUCAUGUCCAAUGUCCAGAGAGGAUUUGGCACAUGGUAGGCUAUCAAUAAAUAUUGUUGAAUGAAUGAAUGAAUGAAUGAAUGUCUUUAUUACCACUAUUCUGGUUUAAGCCACUGUGGCCUCUCGCCUAACAAUUCAAUAAUCUCCUAGUGGGUCUUCCAGCUUCCAUGUUUGCCUCUUCCAGUCUGACCUCCAUAGAGAAGACAGCAUUCUGUUUUAUAUAUGUUAAUCAGGUCAAGUUAUUCUCCUGCAUGAAACUUCCCAGUGGUAAUUUGUCAAACAAUGCAAUCCAAAUAUAGCAUAAUACAUAUACUAAAUUAUACACUACAUCCAAACUCUUUCUAUAUAGUAUAGGGAGGUGGAUUUGAGCUCUCUCCUGCCUAUCUCUCAGCAGCUGACUCCACACAUCCACCUUCACCAGUACACUCCAGCCAUAGCGACCCGCAAGCACCUCUAGCCCACUUCCAUCUUAGGGGCUUUUUUUAUACUGUUAGGUCCUUUUUUUGGGGAAUACUUACACCCCAAUCUUCACAAGGCUGGCUUGUUUUUGGUCCUUGGAACUUCAGCUUAAAUAUCACCUUAGCAGAAGGGACUUCCCUGUCUUCCUAGUACAAUGUAGACACCAGUCAUCACUGUCUCCGUAGCCCUAAUCUUGACCUAAUAUUUUUCUUAUUCAUUGGUGAUGGUCUGCCUCGCUCCCUCCCAUCUCACCUAGAAUAUAAGCUCCCAGACAUGAGGGAUUGUGCUGUCCUUGUUCUGCAUGGUGUCCCUAACAUCUAGGAUGGUAGUUGGCACAUACUAGGUGCUUAAUAUUUAUUUCUUGCAUCCAAUAGUUAAUAUUUUAUACUAUCUGAUACUAAACACCAUUUCUAGUGAGAGGAAGAUAUCCUGGUAAAGUUGCAUAUAGUUUGUUUCGUCCUUCCAAAUGAGUACAAUUUUCAAUUGGGACAAAUUUUCCAAUUAACCUAAAACGAUGUUCCCUCACAAGUCACACAUCCACCACAUCUGCUGAGUCUUCUGAGUAGGACCUUUCUAGUGACUUGGGUUAUACAGAUUUUAUUUUCCUCUACUAAGUGGCUAUUAUCCACACAAUGAUCAAAAGACCUUACAGAUGGACAGUAACUUAGGGUUUAUAGAAUCAGUUAUAAAAGCGAGCCUUUGAUCUGCCCCCAAACCCUGCAUUCAUUAGCGUUGUGUGUUAAGAUGGAGAGCAAGUGCAAAGAGGUAAAUGACUUUCCCAAGAACACAGGGCAAGGAAAUGGUGGCAUGAGAGCUCAGUUCAGGUUCCCCCUUUCUCUCCAAAUGUCUUGUUCUUUCCAUAGCACAUGAUCACCCUUCAAGAGACUACUUGGAAACAUGGAAGAUUAAAAAUGCAUCUUUCUCCUCUUUAGGUUUUCUCUCUCCUUACUUGCCAAAUCUUUACGAAUGCUAUGGAAUUCAGACAGAGCCCUGGUGCCAGAAAUCCCAACAAAGUUUGCAGACCUGAAAUGAACAUCUUUCUUCUCUCGUUCCAUCAUUUGUUCUGGUACUAAGAUAUGAGAAUUAUAAUAAUUUAUAUUUUAAUUACUCAGCCAUAAAAAAGGAUGAAAUUCUGCCAUUCGCAGCAAUGUGGAUAGACCUAGAGAACAUGAUGCUUAGUGAAGUAAGUCAGACAGAGAAAGACAAAUACUGUAUGAUAUCACUUACAUGUGGAAUUUUUUUAAAAAAAGCACAAAUGAAUAUAUAUGCAAAACAGAAACAGACUCAUAUAGAAAACAAACUUAUGGUUACCAAGGAGGAAAGAGAGGACUGACAAAUUAACGGGAUAGCUACAAUGUGUAAAAUAGAUAAGCAACAAGGAUACUAUUCAAUAGAAAAAUAAUUUAUAUUUUACAUGACUUGUAACUGACAUUUUAUGCAUUUAUUUAAAGGAAGGAUUUAUUGCAAAACACUGGAAAUUUGCAAACUUUUGGGAAAGAAUAUGACAGGAGAUGAGUAUAUGUGUGGGAGAAAGACGAAAAAUAGGUUCUUGAACCUGUAAUUUUAACUCCCACUCUGUUUCUUUCAAAUGUCUACACGGAGGAUAGUGUUUAUAAUAACUCAUCCCUUUAAGGCCAACACAUCCUGCCUGUGGGGCUAUUACUUCUGUCUAAAAAAUAAUUAAUGUAAGGUUUGUUGAUAUUUUUCAGUGUGCUAUGAAAGUGACACAUCCAGGGACGAGGGAACUAGCACUUUUUCAAAAAAAAAUAAAUGAUAUAUCUGUAAAUGAAGGAUAAUUUUAAUGUUUAUAAUAAAUGAGAGUACAUUGUUUACAGUUCAUAGGUAACUAAAAUCUACCAUUUAUGGAGAGAAUUUUUAUGGUUGUUAUAUAAAAACAGAUCUAAUCCUGGAUAAUAGCUCAUCAAUAUAAUUUUUUGUGUGUUGUGUAUUUACUACAAGCAUUACUAAAAUAAGUCAGUGCUAUCCAGUUUAGCUUUAUAUCUGGGGAAGAUGAGAUUAAGUGUUUAAAUCAGACUCAAUGACAAUGAUAGGCUAAUUUAGCAGAAAAUGUAACUCAAAUGGAUGAGUGUAAUAUACUUACUUAAGUAAUUCUUGAGACACAGCAGUAAAUGUAAUCUGUUCAAACAGCAACAAACAAUGUGUAGGAUUACUUACUCAUUUAAUCACAAAACAUCCAUGACAUCCUCCUCCUAUUUGGGCAAUAGGUUAUGUUUGUUCUAGUAUCUAGGAAAAUUUGCCCAGCUUCAGAUACUAAUCUCAACUGGCUUCCUGGUAGAUUCUGACAGUAUCACAUUUUUGGCCAAACUACACUGUCUCUUUUUUUCUGAUGUUUUCAAAAUCCUUCAGAGUCAAACAGUGACCACUGUGAAAGCACAUGUCUGAUGAAAAUGAUGAAUGAUCUGACGUUAUGUCAUUAAAUUGUUGUCUUUGGUCAAGAGAUCUGGAGGCUCUGAAUUGAAAACAUAUUUAAGGAGCUCCUGCUGUGGCACAGUGGGUUAAGAAUCUGACUGCAGUAGCUCGGGUGGCUGUGGAGACACAGGUUCAAUCCCCAGCUCAGUGCAAUGUGUUAAAGGAUCUGGUGUCGCCUCAGCAUGGGUUGCAGCUGCCUAGAACUUCCAUAUGCUGAGGGUGCGGCCAUUAUAAAUAAAUAAAUAAACAAAUAUAUAAAGUAAACUGAAAACAUAUUUAAAAGAAACAUCCUAUGGUUACCCAGCUCGUCAGGGGUGAAACUGUGUUUCAAAUGCAGGUCCAGCCCUGUGCUUUUCCUUUCCAUGUCCCUACACUUUCUCACUGAACUAAAACUGCAUACUGAUACUUUUAUAUCUGUUAAUGUUACCCAGAAAGCAUUUUUUUUCCCUGAUGGCGUUAUCCUAUUCUUUAUUUCCCUGCAAUAUUAAAUGAGUUUUAUGAGUUUUUCACAUACAGAAUGACAGCAGAUAUGUUUGAUUGACUGAGGCCUUCUAAUGGGGUUCUUUCUCUCUCUCUCUUUUUUUAAGGGCCACACUUGUGGCAUAUGGAAGUUCUCAGGCUAGGGGUCAAAUUGGAGCAGUAGCUGCUGGCCUACACCACAGCCACAGCAAUGUCAGAUCUGAGCAGUAUCUGUAACCUACACCACAGUUCAUGGCAACACCAGAUCCUUAACCCACUGAGCAAGGCCAGGGAUCGAUCCUACAUCCUCAUGGAUACUAGCCAGAUUCGUUACUGCUGAGCCACAAUGAGAACUCCCUAGUGGGCUUCUUUCUGGCUGACCGUGAAUACCUCCUUCAAGUGAGCUGGGAAGAAGGAAGAUGCUUCCCCAUCACACCUCUGAUUUGGCUCUGGUGCUUGGGGGCAGGUGAGGAUUCUCAGCCUGAGAUGGGGAGACUGGCUCUGGACACUCCAGAUACCAUCUAGGAAUUUUGAUGACUUCUGCUUAUCAAAAUUUUGCUCCCUAUUAAUGGAGAUUAGAAUAUCCUAAAUGUAACUCCACCGUAUAUGUGGGAAGAGCUAACUAUAAUACUUUAGAUUAUUGCAUCCCAUCCCUAAUGCUUAUUCAACGAUGUAAAUACUGAGAAAGAAAAUGUGCACACUGCAGUAUUGCAAAGAUGUCUUUUAGAACCAGAGGUCAAAUUAGCCACAUAAGGAAAUGGAGUGACAUUCGGAGAAUAUGCAUAUUAUUUAAUAAUCCUGGAAGUAUUGUGGGAAAUUAGGCCUUUAUAACCCUUUCUGUUUAUAUUUGUGAUGAUUAAAUAUUAUUUAUAUGGAUGUAUUUUGGGAAGUUAUUAAGAACCAUGUACAUAUGUUAAUUAUUAUUUAUAAUGGAGCUUAGAAAACAAACAGUAUUAGAAAGCUUAAGAGGGAGGGAGAAAAUGAAAGAAUGAGCUGUAAAAUAUUUUCAAAGACUGUCAAUUAGUCAUUGACUUAGUCAUAAUUUUUAUCUACUGAAACGUACAUGGAAAAUGCCCUUAUAAUUUUACUGCCUUUCAUAGCCUUUAAAAAUAUAUAAGUUCUUCUUAUCUCAGAAUCUGUAGAAUGAUAGCAGUCAAAGCUAGUUAUUUAUUAAAGUUCCUUUCUCAUAGGCGCUAUAAUUCCAAGAGGAAAGAGACCAAUUUCUGGCUCUUUAUUUAUUAUUAUUAUUAUUUUUUAGGGCCACACUUGCAGCAUAUGGAAGUUCCCAGGCUAGGGAUAGAAUCAGAGCUGGAGCUGCCGGCCUAUACCACAGCCACAGCAAUGCCAGACCCAAGCACAUAUGCAGCUACACCACAGCUCACAGCAGUGCUGGAUCCUUAACCCACUGAGCAGGAACAGGGAUCAAACCCGCAUCCUCUUGGAUCCUAGUUGGGUUAGUUUCUGCUGAGCCACAAUGGGAACUCUGACCAUUCCUGGCUCUUAAUAUUUUUUGAAAAUUUUACCUUCUGUGAAAGUGAAGAAAGGAAAACUGUUCAUAGGCCAACCUAACAAUCUCAAACUCAGGCAUAGCUUAUAUGCUUUAAUUCUUAUAGUUCCUCAGAAUUGAUAAAUGCAUCCAAAAAUGAUCGUCAUAAAAUAGGGCCAGUAUCAUCAUAAAACAGGGUGAGUAUCAUCACAGAUAAAUAUAUGGAACAAAUAAUACAUUAAGAUAUGGCCAUGACCAUGAAUUCUAAUGAGGAAUUAGAAACUAGUUACAGAAACUAAAAGCAAAAGUCCAGAAUGUGAAACAAGGUAGAUGUGUUCUUUUUCUUCCU